RNAcentral lists this ribosomal RNA (73 nucleotides) under uncultured bacterium. Its description in RNAcentral is "partial 16S ribosomal RNA". It matches the Rfam family "Bacterial small subunit ribosomal RNA", at positions 282 to 354 of the family's 1533-position model. The record is from RNAcentral.
GGUAGCCGGCCUGAGAGGGCGGCCGGCCACACUGGGACUGAGACACGGCCCAGACUCCUACGGAAGGCAGCAG